AUAUCUCAAUCCCUAAAUGGCUUUUGUCAAUUAGUGGACUUGGACUUGGGAGUUGCCAGUCACUCUGGCUCUUCUUAAAUGUAUUAGCGGGACCUAAUUGUAUCUCCGGUGUGAUAAUAUCUACUCCGCUUGAUCGCAACAAAGGAUCUGCUUAUAAUCGUCCUUUUGGACAAUUCUUGAC
This 181-nucleotide unclassified non-coding RNA is filed under the name uncultured Agaricomycetes. RNAcentral describes it as "sequence contains ITS2". Lineage: Eukaryota; Fungi; Basidiomycota; Agaricomycetes. The record is from RNAcentral.